GUCUUCGUAUGAUGAAAUAUUGCGGAUGUAAACAAUUGUCAUUUGUCGGAAUGCGCAAACCCAUGUCGAGAUUUCCGUUGCCUUCCUUCUGAUAUGAAGC
This is a small nucleolar RNA of 100 nucleotides. It matches the Rfam family "Small nucleolar RNA Z13/snr52". Rfam says of the family: Z13 or snr52 is a member of the C/D class of snoRNA which contain the C (UGAUGA) and D (CUGA) box motifs. The record is from Rfam.